RNAcentral lists this ribosomal RNA (406 nucleotides) under uncultured bacterium. RNAcentral describes it as "partial 16S ribosomal RNA". It matches the Rfam family "Bacterial small subunit ribosomal RNA", at positions 29 to 526 of the family's 1533-position model. The record is from RNAcentral.
AUUGAACGCUGGCGGCAGGCCUAACACAUGCAAGUCGAGCGAGCGGCGGACGGGUGAGUAAUGUCUGGGAAACUGCCCGAUGGAGGGGGGUAACUACUGGAAACGGUAGCUAAUAACGCAUACCAUCAGAUGUGCCCAGAUGGGAUUAGCUAGUGGGGGGGGUAGCGGCUCACCUAGGCGACGAUCCCUAGCUGGUCUGGGAGGAUGACCAGCCAAACUGGAACUGAGACACGGUCCAGACGCCUCCGGGAGGCAGCAGGGGGGAAUAUUGCACAAUGGGCGCAAGCCUGAUGCAGCCAUGCCGCGUGUGUGAAGAAGGCCUUAGGGUUGUAAAGCACUUUCAGCGGGGAGGCGUUACCCGCAGAAGAAGCACCGGCUAACUCCGUGCCAGCCGCCGCGGUAAUUC